Molecule: long non-coding RNA, 764 nt
Filed under: Setaria italica (foxtail millet)
Lineage: Eukaryota; Viridiplantae; Streptophyta; Magnoliopsida; Poales; Poaceae
Description: long non-coding RNA (SITA_LNC002415)
Source: RNAcentral
UCUGCAUAGGUUGUACACAUUCACUAUAAGUCGCGUAAAAGUUCAAGAGAACUUUAGAGCCAACCAUGCUGUGCAAAAGUAGGCACUUAUCAAACUACCGAGGUGUGACUGCAUAGGGACGCUACGAAGCCUUUACAAAGAUUUCCUAGUAGGUAGUAGUUCGCUAAGGUUUCGACAAUUGCGUGUGCAUAACCCUCCCCUGGUGAGUAUCUACAAAGAGAAUACCACUCAAAGGAGCCAAGCUAUACCCCAUCACAAGACCCGCUCUUGCCCUUUCGGUAAGACCACCACAAACUAGAGUCUCUAAUUAAUAAGCCAAGACCUGUUGGUCUUAUGGUUGUACUGUUUUCCUGAGUGGUCACUCCAUGUUCCAAUUAAGGCACGUGAGUGGUUGUAAUUAACAAAGAUGCAUAACAGAAAUAAAUUAGGUUCAUUGUUGUUCAUUACUUCCCACCAUAAACCAAGUAUAGCAACUAGCAUAGCUACCCAACCAUAAAGUAAAACCUAGGUUGACAAAGGAUAAUAUGGAAACUAGGUAAAUCCUUAAUUAGGACCCAUCAAAUUAAGAUUCAAGCGUGCAUAGCAUAUGUUUCAUGUAUAAAUGUUGUAUAGGACAUAAUGUGAUCAUGGACACACUUGCCUUUAUCCACAGUACCAUUGCUGCUCAAAAUGUCUCCAUCUCCUUACUCUCGAAUGUCCUCGAAGUGUGUUCGUACUACUCGUGACAAUCAUUCAAAGCAAACAUCCAGAGCACACACAUACAA